Long non-coding RNA from Salvia miltiorrhiza (redroot sage), 3011 nucleotides. RefSeq lists it as uncharacterized. The record is from RefSeq and is a predicted model, not a curated record. The transcript has 2 exons. Lineage: Eukaryota; Viridiplantae; Streptophyta; Magnoliopsida; Lamiales; Lamiaceae.
GUGAAAUUUCGUAGGCCUACUGACAUACUGUGAUCGGCGGUUUUCAGAUGUCAAAUAGCUUUGACAAUUUUAUAGCAAGUCCCUACAUGAGUCUUGAGUACCCUGGUAAAAUUUCAAGCCAUUUCAACUUCGUUUGAUAUUUCUUUAAAAUUCAAAACCUAAACUGCACAUUAAUAUCGAGAAUUUCAGAGAACAGGGGAAAGAGUCGUUUAUUUCAGUAUCUUCCUAUGUGAUAUAGCUUUCCACUUUUUUAUGGUAUCAACCUUUUUCUGUUAUCUAGAUAUACACGAAAGUUGAGCCCAGUUUGACAACGUUUACUAUUUUUCAAAAAUUGUAACUUUCGGUUGCACAAAACUGCCAGAAAUGGUAGAUCGUGGUAAAAAUGUCAUAUCUCUCAAACCAAUUGGAGUUUUCGACUCUACUUUUUUUUAAAUGAAACUAGACUCGAAGAUCUUUCUUUCGGUAUGAGUCUCGAGUCCAGGAGAUGUCGGAGUCAGAACAGUUUAAUUUUUGACGUUGAGUCAGUGUAAAAAUAGAGCAUGUUUUGAUGAUGUUUGAUUGUGAUUUCUUAUGUGCCUUAUGUGAUUGUUUUGCCUAUGUGUUUGAAUGAGAUUAGACGAGCCUUAUAUGAGAGAUAAAUCGAAACUUAGAACCAUGAUUUUCUUGAAACCUAUCCUUGAACUUAAGGAUUUGAGAUGAGUGGAGAGUUAUAUAGAGUUGAGUAAGGAGAUAGAAUAUGAGAUAGAGCAUGAGUUAAGGCUUGAGAAUUAGUCAAUGAGUUUCUAAUCGAGAUUCAUUUUAUGACAUGAACCUUCGAUGAUGAUGAUGAUCCCUGAAGACACGAGCAUAGCAAGGAAGUAAGUAGCUCCGCUUUGACGGGAGGUUUUGAGUAAGGUCUUCAGGUGGGCAUUAUUUUGAGUAUACAGUUUAAGAGCUUUUCUAAACUGUUUUAAAUGAUGAUGAAAUUACGAGAUGUUUUGAGAUUAUAACGAUGUUUGAGAAUUAUUGACUUGCCAAUAUUUUUAUGAUGAUGUUGAGCUUGUAUGUUUACCCUCUACUGUUGAGAUGAGACGAUCGGGUCCUGGGCAGUUGAUAGCUAUCCUGCCAGGGCUAGUGUACACUGAGGUGACUGUGAGCCGUUGAGCGAAUCGGCCGGUCACGGUGCUUGAGAAGGAGGCCGACUUCUCAAUACCUGAGUUGAGAUGAUGAUGAGUUGUAGAUGUGGUACUUACUUGCUGAGUUUUGACUGCAGUCAUUUGAGUCAUUCAUUCAUUUAUUGAUGAUGUUGAGUUUUAACUGCAUGCACAGGAUUUUCUAACUGUUAUUCCUGUGUAUUACUGAAGUGUGGCAAGUUCAAUUUAUAGCUCUAUGAGCAACUUUGUUUUCGGCGAUAUGCCCACUGAGUAUUUAUGUACUCACGCCCUGCAUGUAUUUCUAAACGUGCAGGAUAAGCGGAGGGGGAGUAUGGUGCGGUGCUGGUGGGGAAUGUUUCGGGUUGACGUUUUCUUUCUCUAUCGUAUGUCUGUUUUGUCGAUAGAGUUUUGAUAUGAAGUUAUGUUAUAUUAAAUCAAGCAGUUUAGUCACGAUUAUGUGUCUUCAUACAUAUAGUCGGUUCACCUUUUGUUAUCACACUCUGAAUAUUAUGACUCUACAUAAAAAUCGAGCUAUACUUGUUUUGCUUUUCAUGUUGAGAUUCCUGAUAUUUAUCGAGUUAUGACUAUGUUGACGAAUAUACCCUUUUGAUGAAUUAUGAUGAUCUUUCCUUAGCAUGUUUCUUUGUGAGCUUCCGCUGUUGAUCUAUGUAUUCUUUCUAUCUUUCCCCUUUCUUUUAUUAGUCGUAUCGAUACUCGGUCCCCGCUAUUACUAGUGUCGGAACCGGGAUGCGACAGAGUGGUAUCAGAGCAGGUCGUCUGCUCUGAGUUUAAUGCUUGAUUGAGCUGAGCUUUUAUUUGCUCUUAUUUAUGAGUUGAGUACUAGUCUAAUUUGAGUUCUUAGACUGGUUUGAGAGUCAGUCGAAACAGAACCCCAGCACCCCAUCUCCUCCGACUUAUCGAGGUAAGAGCUUUUGAUGUUUUCUUUUCCGCUUUCAUGCUGAGUUUUGAGUUGACCCACUGAUGAGUUAUUUGAUGUUUGAUGGCGGAACUAUUUGAGCAUGAUGAGAACCAUGAGUUGAGGAAUUUUUGGGAGUCAUGUUGAGGCUAAUAUAGAUGUUGCCCCACCGUACCAAAUGAGGAAGAGUAUGUUGAUUGUGGUGGAAUACCAAGAGAUUUAGGUUUUCGAGUUGGAAGAGUGCAAUUUUGGAGAGAAGUGGCGUUUUUGAUGUUCUGGUGUGCAGAAGCGAAGUCGCCAGAGAAGUCGCUGGUCAGAGCAGUGAAAUCUGCUCAAGCCAGAGAAAUCGACAAGCCAGCCGCGGAAGCCAGAGCAGAGAAAUGCACCAAGUCAGAGAAGCAAAGCUCCGUGUCAAAGAAAUUGCGUGCGCCAGAGAAAUCACCCGCCAGAGCGGAGGAAGCGCCAGAGGAAUCAAGGCGCCAGGGAGUCAAUAAUGCCAGAGGGUAGAGAUACGUCAGAGGAAUCAAUACCAGAGAGGAACCCAUUCCGCUGACAAGAUCAGAGAAGUCAUCCGUUCCUCUGGCAAUAGCCAUUCCUCUGGCGAGAGCCGCGAUUUCCGCCCGAGUGGAGAUUACUUGCUGAGCGCGUCAUAGCUGGAGUUACCUUAUCAUCUACGAUUCUAUUCCUUUUAGAGUCCGGCUUUGCAUGGUAAUUUCCAUGGUGAUCCAGAAGGAGUUGAAGUCUAUAAAUAGGGCCAUAGUUUUCAUUGUAUAAUUAAUUCUUGCCCUAGUUUUAGAAGCCAUCUUAGAGAGCUGUUGGCAUCCGAAGCUUAGGAUUUAAUUGCUUUCUUAGUGCUUUCAUAGUUUCGAGUUUUCAUUGUUCUAGUUAGGUUUCAAUUUAGUUUUAUUUAGUUUUUAUGCUUGGAUUGUGAUUGAGUGACACAAUUUCAUAUUCAAGACGUU